Molecule: ribosomal RNA, 546 nt
Filed under: Bifidobacterium dentium
Lineage: Bacteria; Bacillati; Actinomycetota; Actinomycetes; Bifidobacteriales; Bifidobacteriaceae
Description: bacterial SSU rRNA
Rfam family: Bacterial small subunit ribosomal RNA
Source: RNAcentral
ACGGGUGGUAAUGCCGGAUGCUCCGGUUGGAUGCAUGUCCUUCCGGGAAAGAUCCGUCGGUAUGGGAUGGGGUCGCGUCCUAUCAGCUUGAUGGCGGGGUAACGGCCCACCAUGGCUUCGACGGGUAGCCGGCCUGAGAGGGCGACCGGCCACAUUGGGACUGAGAUACGGCCCAGACUCCUACGGGAGGCAGCAGUGGGGAAUAUUGCACAAUGGGCGCAAGCCUGAUGCAGCGACGCCGCGUGCGGGAUGGAGGCCUUCGGGUUGUAAACCGCUUUUGAUCGGGAGCAAGCCCUUCGGGGUGAGUGUACCUUUCGAAUAAGCACCGGCUAACUACGUGCCAGCAGCCGCGGUAAUACGUAGGGUGCAAGCGUUAUCCGGAAUUAUUGGGCGUAAAGGGCUCGUAGGCGGUUCGUCGCGUCCGGUGUGAAAGCCCAUCGCUUAACGGUGGGUCUGCGCCGGGUACGGGCGGGCUGGAGUGCGGUAGGGGAGACUGGAAUUCCCGGUGUAACGGUGGAAUGUGUAGAUAUCGAAAAAAAAAAACCA